UGGUGCAAAAGUAACUGCAGGUUUUGCAAUUAAAGGUAAUGACAAAAACCACAAUUACUUUUGCAUCAACCU
This is a microRNA precursor of Gorilla gorilla gorilla (western lowland gorilla), 72 nucleotides long. NCBI's taxonomy places the organism in Eukaryota, Metazoa, Chordata, Mammalia, Primates, Hominidae. The record is from Ensembl.